UACAGAGGUCUCAAGCGUUGUUCGGAUUCAUUGGGCGUAAAGGGUGCGUAGGCGGCGGAGCAAGUCAGGUGUGAAAUCCCGGAGCUCAACUCUGGAACUGCACUUGAUACUGCUUUGCUAGAGUACUGGAGAGGAGAUUGGAAUUUACGGUGUAGCAGUGAAAUGCGUAGAUAUCGUAAGGAAGACCAGUGGCGAAGGCGAAUCUCUGGACAGUUACUGACGCUGAGGCACGAAGGCCAGGGGAGCAAACGGG
RNAcentral lists this ribosomal RNA (253 nucleotides) under uncultured bacterium. RNAcentral's name for it is "partial 16S ribosomal RNA". It matches the Rfam family "Bacterial small subunit ribosomal RNA", at positions 524 to 776 of the family's 1533-position model. The record is from RNAcentral.